Molecule: transfer RNA, 64 nt
Filed under: Mitjaevia shibingensis
Lineage: Eukaryota; Metazoa; Arthropoda; Insecta; Hemiptera; Cicadellidae
Description: tRNA-Glu
Source: RNAcentral
GUCCCUAUAGUUUAAAAAAAAAUAUUUUAUUUUCAUUAAAAAGAUAAUUAUAAAUUUAUGGAUU